RNAcentral lists this long non-coding RNA (825 nucleotides) under Salvia miltiorrhiza (redroot sage). RNAcentral describes it as "long non-coding RNA (SMIL_LNC004731)". Lineage: Eukaryota; Viridiplantae; Streptophyta; Magnoliopsida; Lamiales; Lamiaceae. The record is from RNAcentral.
UUAGGUACAAAUACAAUGUGAAAAGGAGUCUUCGUUUACUCGAUUUCUGGUUGAUGGGUGGAGUCAAUACCCGAACCAAUCACCCUUGCAGAUUAAUGAAAAAUCCUUUUGCCGUCUUCAUUAAUCGGCAAGGAUAAAUUUGAGGUGCGUUCUUGACUUCUUCCCUUCUUUCCGCUUCAUCAUUUUGUAAACAAAAAUCCCUUGUUCCACAAAAUUACUUCAUCGCCAUCAACCUAAAAUAGCAGUAUAAGAUAAACUAUCAAGAAUAUUGGUAUGCAGAUUAACUGUUCGAUGAAAUGCUUAACAGAAGGUUUAAUUUUGGUUAAACAAAAUUAGACCACAUUCAUAUCACUCGGUUUAAAGGGUCCUCGAAUUAACAUUCAGUGUUAUCAUUAUCAAAUCAUGCAUUGGAUGCAAUAAAUAUGUGUGUAUAUAUAUACAUAAUGGAGAAUUAAAUACCAGCAAUGUUUUUGGUGAUGCAGUCUGUGAGAAACUAUGAAGAAUAUUGGGUAUGCAGACUAAAUGUUCGAUGAAAUGCUUGACAGAAGGUUUAGUGUUGUUAAACAAAAUUAGACCAAUAUUCAGCGUCAUCAAUAUCAAAUCAUGCAUUGGAAUGUGCAAUAUAUAUGUAAAUAUAGUUAUGGAGAAUUUACCAGCAACGUUUUUGGUCAAGCAGCAUCAUUUAGGACUGCGCCUUUGAUCCUUUCAACCGUGCAUUUGAUGAGGCUGUUCACCGUUGCAACGGAACCCAAGGAGAGCUUCGCAGUGGGAACGGAAUCGACCAAUAUCUGAAAGGCGACGGUCAGCAGGGAUCCGACCUCACUG